Long non-coding RNA from Dalotia coriaria, 2771 nucleotides. RefSeq lists it as uncharacterized. Lineage: Eukaryota; Metazoa; Arthropoda; Insecta; Coleoptera; Staphylinidae. The transcript is spliced from 3 exons. The record is from RefSeq and is a predicted model, not a curated record.
AGUGAAAAUUUAUGAAUCUAAUUUGUGUUUUAUUAAUAUUAGAACGUAAUAAAACGCCUUUGGGGUCCACUGAUGGAUCGCAGUGUCACUCUGUGCAGCGCGAUAUAAAUGACUGCAAGUCUGUUUACACCUCCAAGUGUUUGUUUGCGGCCCGGCGAUGAGCAUUUUCCACUCCUGGUGAGCGAGACGCCCGCGUCUGCGUUAAUCGAAGCGCUGCACGCGCAUUUAACGACGCCUUGCAGCUGCACUUAUUUUAACAUCAAAAAAUUGAGAACCUGUUCACAGAAUGUCCAAAAAUGCACAGAAUUUCAAGUGCCAUCGAACUGAUAUCUUAUUCGAUCAUUGCACCGAUGAUAUCAUCAAAACACGAAACUCGCAGCCGAAAUUUACAAACAUUGUCGAUGUUGAGUUUAACAACUCAAUUGUUUAAAAAUUUCGAUUGUUCUUCAUUCCCUGGAUUGUUUACAGGUAGGUGAGUUUAUAGUCGCACUAAAAAGGUAUUAAUUGAAUUAAAAACAUCACGAAAAAUGGGUUCGACCCAUGGGUACACCCAUUUUUGCGCGCUGGACGUGUCAGCGGGCGUUUGCUGGGUAUAUUGAUGGCAUUUUUUGCCGGCCACGAUAUGCACUCUUCACCCAUGUGCGAUGGGGCAAUCUGCGGUCGAUCAAUAAUAAAGCAAACACAGCCGAAUUGUAAAAAAAGUGCAUCGAUGGGUGUUUGGGCGCCUUUUGUUCCUGUUUAAUGGUGCAAACGUGCAGACGCGCGAACGUGAGAACGCCGCCGCACGAUUCCAGUGUUGCGGCAUCGAGAAGCGUAAUUUGUUUGCUCAUUUAUCUGCAUCCAAAGGUUAACUAACAUUCGACCAUAAUUGCACCAACAAUGGGUGAAAAUGCCAAAAAUUACAUACUUAUAAAAAUCAUCACCUACAACGCAGCAAAAGCAAUUCUAUUAGGUUUUUUAGUUAAAAAAAUACAAAAAGCAAUAAAUUAUGAUUAAUUAACGAUUAUAUUCUCUUAAUUAUAAAGUUCCGUAUCGCACGCAGUUAAUUUGCGUUAGUAGAGCAUAUUUUCGAGAAGUUUUCUUCCUAGAACGCCGUCGAAUCGCGUGCUGUGCACAAAUCUCCGGAUGCAGCGUUGCGAUGAGCAGCUGCACGCCAUUUCUCAACAAUUCCGAGAGAUUAACAUGAAAAAUCUGCGCAUAUUUCUCCACAUUUCCGAUUUGUGCAUUUCUAGGAUUAUCACUUCGAGCGCUCGACCAUUUGAUUUGCAUUGCAGAUGAACCCACAAUACGCAUUCUACAUUCAAUAUUCCAGCCGAUUGCGAAACGCAUUGUGCUCGCUUCGAGGCGCGAUUGUGAAUUGUUUGAUUGCCUUAUUGCCGCUAUUUAAACGCCGAAGAAUUCAUCUUUUCAUAAUCGAACACCACGCAAAAUAUUCCAUCUCGUUUGGUAUUCAUUAAUACGAAUUACAAUAGAAACAAAAUACUGAUUCUAAUUCCAAUUCUAAUUGUCAAUGCAGUGGAGAUCUUUCUCUCCUGUCGGAAUAUGUGUCACGUAGUGCGAUUGUUUCAAUUUCAAUUUGUUGAGAUGCGAUGAGAUGUGUUAUUACCGGUUGAUUCAUCUCGCAUAAAUUUCGAUUAAAUGUCAUCGAUUACUUAAACGCCUGACGAAAUGUACGUUCUAAAAUCGUUUGCGGAUGCGACCGAGAAGACGAAACGACCUUUGCGUUAAUUUUUUCAUGUGAAACCAGAUUCGAUUUCGUUUAUAUUACCGAUAAAAUUAUGUGAUGCUUAUUUUCGUUUUGCUUUGAAUCAUGAUGAUUGGUCGGUUACACAUUAAAAUUCUUCCGAAAAAAUAAGUGGGUCAAGACUAGUGCAUCACACUAAUUGGAUAAUUAAUAUGAAACUGUGUCGCUGGUCUUCGUGCUUCAAAUUAACAUUGGAAUUACUAUAAUAUGGAUCAAUAUUAAAAAUUCUAAUACUGUAAUUUAUUAUAUACAAGGUGUUUUUAUUUUAAUAUUAAAUUUAAAUUGUUAUUUUGGAUGUAAAAGAGUCAAUUUAAGAUGUGACCUAAAGAAAAUCGAAAGUACGACACGAGAUGCGCCUACUUAUUGUACCAUUAACAUCUUACUGCUACUCAUUCCGCGCGUGUGUGUUUGGUGAUGCGCAAAAAGUAAGAACAAUGUUAGAACAACGACGCGACAAGUUGAAGUUGUUGACUCGAAAAGGAACGUCCGAUUGUUUCGCGCUCGCGUUGCCGAAGAAAUCGUUAAGUUCGCCCGCUCGCCUCACCUAUUAAUAAAAUUCCUCUCAUCCAACACGACAUUUAAAUGUGAAGGUAGACGCUCUUGCACUUUUCCAUGCCUCGGCGCGGCCGCCGCAAUCGAUGUGACUAAUAUACCACACUCGAUUUCAUAACGCGAACGAACCAACCAGCAAAUGUAAAAUGGUACUUCAUUUGCCUUCGACUCGCGUCACGAAUGCAUGUCUUGGCUGCCUUUGCGAACUCAACAACUCAACGGCAUUGCGAAAUCGAUGAGCUGAAGAAGUCGAGCGCCAUGCGGAGGAGAAAAAUUUAGAAAAUGCAAAAAGAGAAUUUUUAGAAUUUUUUUAAACACCAUGUAUAAACUACUUAAGCAAAGAUUUAAAUUUUUAACUAUUUGAAUUUUCUAUAUUUUAAUUUGCAUUUUAAAACGUUAAAAAUUUUAACUUUAAAAAUUAUUUAAAACUUAAGAUACAUAAAAAGAUUAAAUGAAAAACUUACUCUUUUUCACG